Molecule: ribosomal RNA, 484 nt
Filed under: uncultured Glomeromycotina
Lineage: Eukaryota; Fungi; Glomeromycota
Description: SSU rRNA
Rfam family: Eukaryotic small subunit ribosomal RNA
Source: RNAcentral
AGCGUAUAUUAAAGUUGUUGCAGUUAAAAAGCUCGUAGUUGAAUUUCGGGGUCAGUAGGUUGGUCAUGCCACUGGUAUGUACUGGUCUCACUGAUUCCUCCUUCCUGAUGAACUAUAAUGCCAUUAAUUUGGCGUUGCAGGGAAUCUGGACUGUUACUUUGAAAAAAUUAGAGUGUUUAAAGCAGGCUAACGCCUGAAUACAUUAGCAUGGAAUAAUGAAAUAGGACGUUCGAUCCUAUUUUGUUGGUUUCUAGGAUUGACGUAAUGAUUAAUAGGGAUAGUUGGGGGCAUUAGUAUUCAAUUGUCAGAGGUGAAAUUCUUGGAUUUAUUGAAGACUAACUACUGCGAAAGCAUUUGCCAAGGAUGUUUUCAUUAAUCAAGAACGAAAGUUAGGGGAUCGAAGACGAUCAGAUACCGUCGUAGUCUUAACCAUAAACUAUGCCGACUAGGGAUCGGAUGAUGUUAAUUUUUUAAUGACUCAUUC